AAGUCAAUUUUUCUUCCGAGGGAUACAUUUCUUUCACUUCCUGUUUUCUCACUUGUUGUCUUAACUGUGGGUCGUUUGUAAGUCAGAUGUUUGUAGCUCUGGGACUGCCUGCAUGUUUUUUGAAGUCCAUUUUCAGUUUGAGACUUACUUUAUGCAACCUUUGUACAAACCUUUUUGCACACUAAUAAUAUUUUUGAAUAUUCCUUCCCACAUAGGAAAAUGCUAUAACUGACCCCAAAGUCCAUGUAUGAAAUUUGAACAAAAUGACUCAAUGGUUAGUACUUAGGAAGAAGAUUGGUGAAAAAUAUUGCUGUAUAUGCAUGUAUUUGACUAAGUCUCUGUGGGAUCACUACUUAUGUAUGUGUGUUUUAAGGGGAAAACACCUGGUCAGUUACAACUCAUAGUUGAGUAAUUAGAACAAUCAAGGAUACAAGCUUGAACCACUUCCUGAAUGGGGUAUAACUUGGGGAAAUGUUUGUAAUGCUUUUUGGGACUUACUGAAUCCUGACUGAAAGCCUACUGCUUGUCUCCUUGCACCAUUGAAGUAAUCUCCAAAGAAGAUGCAUGAAUUUAAUGCAAAGAACUUUAUCAAAACAGGAUCCAAGGUUAGAUUUUCUCAAUCUUGACACCAUCCAGAAGCAAUUGCACCUAUUGACUCUAGGGAAACUUCUGCUCCUACAGUUGACUGUUUUAAAGACUUCCAUAAGAUUGGCUUAGAGAAGAAUUGGCCUGCAGCACUGCAUAUCUAAAGAUAAGAUAUAUACUCCAGAUGGAGAGAGAUAUAGAUUAUCUGAAAGGACAUGACAUUUGGACAUUAUCGCACAAGGAAGCAAACCAGCAUUGAAGCAGAUGACUACUCCUAUUGCAUAAUGCUAUAAAUAUUCUAUUGCCAAUCUGUCUCCUUCCCAGAAAUAUUCCAUUCCUGCUAAUGAUGUAUAAAUUGUGUUUAUAGCAGUUAUCUCAUAACAUUCCCAUAAUCUACUUUGUGUGAUAGGAUCACUUUAUUUCUGUGUUAGCACUUAAAUGAUGUCACUGGAUUGAAUUCCCUCUCUUUCUUGCUCUCCCAAUCCCCCCCCCCCGCCCCCCGCCCCCCAAAAGAAGCCAAAAUCACUGUUCCAUAACUGGAUUUUUUUCCCUUUAUAAUAAUUUUGGCUUCUUUUAAAUUAAAUUCCUGCUGAAACUGUGUAAUUGCUUUAAAAAAUAUUUUUUUCCUUUUCUCUCCCCCCCCCCCCAUUUUCUUUGAUCUUUGAAUUUUAAAAAAUUAAAAAGAAAUCCUAAUACCUAUUUUUGAUCUCCCCCCCCCCAAUCUUUUAAACACGUGCACUGAACUCAAAAAGCAGUUUGUAGAGGUUUCAGAUAACAGAUUUUUUAAAAAAGUAACAGCUUCAGAAUUCAAAGCUUAUUGCUCUUUUUGGCCCUAUCUACCCUGCCGUUUAAUGUGAUUUAGGAAGUGCGUUAUCUUGAGACGUUCAAGAUUUUAAAAUACAUAUCCAAGAUCCAGACCUUUCAUCUUUGGAGAUCUGGGGCCUGUGGAGAUUGCUCCUGAGAUUGCCAUUUGCAAUCUCAGGAGCAGUCUCCACAGAUAAUAUCUCAUCUCUGCAAGCUCAAGCAACCUGCAGAGGAGGGAAGGCGAUGCCAGCCCUUCCUCUAUCACCACCCCCUUUCCUAUCUUUAAAAGGUUAAAAAUAGCCUCCUUAUCAAGACUGGAGAGUGCCCGUCACUCCGUUGCACCCAUAAAUCAUGAAAUUGAGCUUUUGCAUUAUUUACAGGUGCAAUGAAGAAAAGGAGACUCUCCAGCCUCAACGGAGAGGCUAUUUUUAAUGUUUCAAAGCCAAGAAAAGUGGCAAUAGAGGGGAGGACAAGGAGCUGAGUGUAAGGCUAAAAAGGGGGUGAAAGAGAGGGCAAGGGGGAAGUUGUGCCCACCAGUGGCAACACUGGUUCAGCAGAAGUAGGUCUGACCACCUCUCAGCUAAAACAAUGAGGGUUUCACCCCGAUGUAGCCUACAAAUUCACAUGAAACCAACAUUUUAAAUUAUUUAAAAUGCCAAUUUCACACAUAUCUGAGCCAGUGUAAAAGGGCCCUAAGAGACAGAGAAAGGAACACUAAACAUGUAAGUAGUGGGUAUUUCUGUUUCUCAAUCUGAAUGCAGUGAGAUAGUUUCCUUCUUCUUUAAAGUCAAGAUUAAUUUCAUUGUCACCUUAUGUCUUUGAGGUUUUAUCAUCUUUUUUGCCUCAGUUUCUGAUAUCUGUUUGGCUUUACAUUCUGACAUAUAAUAUAUGCAAGUUCACUAAUAGUCUAAUCUAGAGUAGGAGUAAUGUGUAUUUGAAACAGAAAUCACCAUGAAAACAACUAAGCAAACUACACAUUCAGUUUUUUCGUUACAUAAAAUACAUAGAACCUAUGUCCUGAAUGGAUUCUAUCAUCUUCUUCUUCAUCAACACAACCACCAGUAAGAGCAGCAACAACCACACAGACAUCAUUUAUGAAAAAAAUCUAUUUUCUACAGGCUAGAACCAAUCAGAAGCAUCAUGACUUGUUAAUUUUAAUGUAAUUUCUUUCACAUUUGAUGAAUAAUACAGUUAUCUCUUCUAUUUUAAUACAUAUGAAACAGAAUCUAAAAUCAUUAGAACAACGCUAGUAAACCUGUUCUCUUUAGAAGAUAUUUUGAAAAAUGUCUAGUUCUCUUUUUAUGCAAGAUAAUUGCCAUUUGAAUUACACUGAAAAAAAGAGUUGCUUAAUAGUUAGUAAUCCAUUCCCUCAGUCAUAUACUGUACCUGUAAUUAGAUUCUUAUAUGUAAUAUUAUUAUACCAUAGUUUCAAUAACUAAACAGUUUCUUGUCUGAGACCCAUUCAGUGACUUUUUUCUUUAUGAAUCAAUUGACUUUAAUGUUUUUCAUGUGUUUUUCUCUUAAAGUGUAUACAUAUUUCCAAAAAACCCCUAAUAAUUAGUUUACAUUUUGUAAUAAAGAAUAAGCUGUGAUUGUUCUAUGUGGGAUUGCCUUGAAAAAUGGUUGGAAAAAUGGUAGGAGGUCCUUUGCUGUGAAUAGAGUACUAGAAAUGGAAAA
Anolis carolinensis (green anole) is the source of this 3066-nucleotide long non-coding RNA. RefSeq lists it as uncharacterized. The transcript has 4 exons. Lineage: Eukaryota; Metazoa; Chordata; Lepidosauria; Squamata; Anolidae. The record is from RefSeq and is a predicted model, not a curated record.